CGGCUCAGCGUUUCAGUUCAGUUUAGUCGCUCGUAACGUUUGGCAGCAUUUUCCGUUUGCACACACUUUCUCUCUCUGGUUUCUGGUUCUGUGUUCUGUGCUCCUCCCUGUGUCGCCUUGUUUAAGCAGGGCCGGCCGUGUUCCGUGUAAAAAACGUUUGUUAAUUUAAUUGAUUUUCCCCAACAUUUAUUUAUGGAUAUUGGUUUUAAAUAGCAGCAAAGUCCAGACAUGCCUUACAAACAACCUCUUUGAUAGCAAGCCAGUAAAACUCAAUAGUGUUUCAUUUUCAUUUCAGGCAAAGUUUAGUGCGGUAAUCAUUAGGCUGAACACGUAACAUUCACUCAGGUAUCUAGGAAAUCUAUAGACAACAA
Long non-coding RNA from Drosophila arizonae, 371 nucleotides. The record is from RefSeq and is a predicted model, not a curated record. Lineage: Eukaryota; Metazoa; Arthropoda; Insecta; Diptera; Drosophilidae.